UACGUAGGAUGCAAGCGUUGUUCGGAAUUACUGGGCGUAAAGGGCGCGUAGGCGGCCUGUUAAGUCGAACGUGAAAUCCCCGGGCUCAACCCGGGAACUGCGUCCGAUACUGGCAGGCUUGAAUCCGGGAGAGGGAUGUGGAAUUCCAGGUGUAGCGGUGAAAUGCGUAGAUAUCUGGAGGAACACCGGUGGCGAAGGCGGCAUCCUGGACCGGUAUUGACGCUGAGGCGCGAAAGCCAGGGGAGCAAACGGG
Molecule: ribosomal RNA, 253 nt
Filed under: uncultured bacterium
Lineage: Bacteria
Description: partial 16S ribosomal RNA
Rfam family: Bacterial small subunit ribosomal RNA
Source: RNAcentral